GGCUCAGAACGAACGCUGGCGGCGUGCCUAAUACAUGCAAGUCGAACGAGAAAAUCCGGCUGUAGCAAUACAGUUGGGUGAGUAAAGUGGCGACCGGGUGAGUAACACGUGACUAACCUACCCUAGAGUGGGGGAUAACUCCGGGAAACCGGGGCUAAUACCGCAUAACAUCGCGAGGGGCAGAUCCUUGCGAUCAAAGAAGCAAUUCGCUGAAGGAGGGGGUCGCGGCUGAUUAGCUAGUUGGUGAGGUAACGGCUCACCAGGGCAAUGAUCAGUAUCCGGCCUGAGAGGGCGCACGGACACACUGGUACUGAAACACGUGAAAGACUCCUACGGGAGUCAGCAGUGG
This 349-nucleotide ribosomal RNA is filed under the name uncultured Acidobacteriota bacterium. Its description in RNAcentral is "bacterial SSU rRNA". It matches the Rfam family "Bacterial small subunit ribosomal RNA", at positions 21 to 357 of the family's 1533-position model. Lineage: Bacteria; Pseudomonadati; Acidobacteriota. The record is from RNAcentral.